RNAcentral lists this ribosomal RNA (465 nucleotides) under Vreelandella stevensii. RNAcentral's name for it is "partial 16S ribosomal RNA". It matches the Rfam family "Bacterial small subunit ribosomal RNA", at positions 338 to 795 of the family's 1533-position model. The record is from RNAcentral. Lineage: Bacteria; Pseudomonadati; Pseudomonadota; Gammaproteobacteria; Oceanospirillales; Halomonadaceae.
CCUACGGGCGGCAGCAGUGGGGAAUAUUGGACAAUGGGCGAAAGCCUGAUCCAGCCAUGCCGCGUGUGUGAAGAAGGCCUUCGGGUUGUAAAGCACUUUCAGUGGGGAAGAAAGCCUUGGGGCUAAUACCCUCGAGGAAGGACAUCACCCACAGAAGAAGCACCGGCUAACUCCGUGCCAGCAGCCGCGGUAAUACGGAGGGUGCGAGCGUUAAUCGGAAUUACUGGGCGUAAAGCGCGCGUAGGCGGUCUGAUAAGCCGGUUGUGAAAGCCCCGGGCUCAACCUGGGAACGGCAUCCGGAACUGUCAGGCUAGAGUGCAGUAGAGGAAGGUAGAAUUCCCGGUGUAGCGGUGAAAUGCGUAGAGAUCGGGAGGAAUACCAGUGGCGAAGGCGGCCUUCUGGACUGACACUGACGCUGAGGUGCGAAAGCGUGGGUAGCAAACAGGAUUAGAUACCCCGGUAGUC